CUUAUCAAGAGUGGUGGAGGGACCGGCCCUGUGAAGCCACGGCAACCUGCCAAAAGCAAGGUGCCAAAUCCGGCGGUAGAAUCGCAAGAUGAGG
RNAcentral lists this non-coding RNA (94 nucleotides) under uncultured Lawsonibacter sp. Its description in RNAcentral is "SAM riboswitch (S box leader)". It matches the Rfam family "SAM riboswitch aptamer (S box leader)". From Rfam's summary of the family: The SAM riboswitch is found upstream of a number of genes which code for proteins involved in methionine or cysteine biosynthesis in Gram-positive bacteria. The SAM riboswitch acts at the level of transcription termination control. Lineage: Bacteria; Bacillati; Bacillota; Clostridia; Eubacteriales; Oscillospiraceae. The record is from RNAcentral.